This is a non-coding RNA of Gossypium hirsutum (cotton), 139 nucleotides long. The record is from Rfam. Lineage: Eukaryota; Viridiplantae; Streptophyta; Magnoliopsida; Malvales; Malvaceae.
CGUGAAAAUAUUCAUCCAUUUCUAUAGUUAAAAACUGACGUGGUUGAUAAAUAACCGGUAGUACGUAUUGUAUUACGUGUACCUCAUUUUGACUUACAUGGACCAGUUUUUAUUUGUAGAAAUGAAUAAAAUUUUAAUA